CCUACGGGAGGCAGCAGUGGGGAAUAUUGGACAAUGGGGGCAACCCUGAUCCAGCCAUGCCGCGGGUGUGAAGAAGGCCCUCGGGUUGUAAAGCACUUUCAGUGAGGAAGAACGCCUGGUGGUUAAUACCCAUCAGGAAAGACAUCACUCACAGAAGAAGCACCGGCUAACUCCGUGCCAGCAGCCGCGGUAAUACGGAGGGUGCGAGCGUUAAUCGGAAUUACUGGGCGUAAAGCGCGCGUAGGUGGCUUGAUAAGCCGGUUGUGAAAGCCCCGGGCUCAACCUGGGAACGGCAUCCGGAACUGUCAAGCUAGAGUGCAGGAGAGGAAGGUAGAAUUCCCGGUGUAGCGGUGAAAUGCGUAGAGAUCGGGAGGAAUACCAGUGGCGAAGGCGGCCUUCUGGACUGACACUGACACUGAGGUGCGAAAGCGUGGGUAGCAAACAGGAUUAGAUACCCGGGUAGUC
RNAcentral lists this ribosomal RNA (465 nucleotides) under Vreelandella stevensii. RNAcentral's name for it is "partial 16S ribosomal RNA". It matches the Rfam family "Bacterial small subunit ribosomal RNA", at positions 338 to 795 of the family's 1533-position model. Lineage: Bacteria; Pseudomonadati; Pseudomonadota; Gammaproteobacteria; Oceanospirillales; Halomonadaceae. The record is from RNAcentral.